GUUUGAUCAUGGCUCAGGAUGAACGCUAGCGGCAGGCCUAAUACAUGCAAGUCGAACGGUGUCUUCGGACAUAGUGGCGCACGGGUGCGUAACACGUAUGCAACCUACCUUACAUUGGGGGAUAGCCUUUCGAAAGGGAGAUUAAUACCGCAUAAGACAGUAACUAGGCAUCUAGUAGCUGUUAAAGAUUUAUCGAUGUAAGCUGGGCAUGCGACCAAUUAGCUUGUUGGUGAGGUAAUGGCUCACCAAGGCUAUGAUUGGUAGGGGAACUGAGAGGUCAAUCCCCCACACUGGCACUGAGAUACGGGCCAGACUCCUACGGGAGGCAGCAGUAGGGAAUAUUGGGCAAUGGACGCAAGUCUGACCCAGCCAUGCCGCGUGCAGGAUGAAGGCGUUAUGCGUUGUAAACUGCUUUUAUACAGGAAGAAACGACUCUUGCGAGAGGCAUUGACGGUACUGUAUGAAUAAGCACCGGCUAACUCCGUGCCAGCAGCCGCGGUAAUACGGAGGGUGCAAGCGUUGUCCGGAUUUAUUGGGUUUAAAGGGUGCGCAGGUGGUUUAUUAAGUCAGUGGUGAAAGACGGUCGCUCAACGAUUGCAGUGCCAUUGAAACUGGUAGACUUGAGUAAAGUAGAGGUGGGCGGAAUUGAUAGUGUAGCGGUGAAAUGCAUAGAUAUUAUCAAGAACUCCAAUUGCGUAGGCAGCUCACUUGGCUUUUACUGACACUCAUGCACGAAAGUGUGGGUAUCAAACAGGAUUAGAUACCCUGGUAGUCCACACUGUAAACGAUGAUAACUA
Molecule: ribosomal RNA, 797 nt
Filed under: uncultured bacterium
Lineage: Bacteria
Description: bacterial SSU rRNA
Rfam family: Bacterial small subunit ribosomal RNA
Source: RNAcentral